AAGGCUAAAUACUCCUGACUGACCGAUAGUGAACCAGUACCGUGAGGGAAAGGCGAAAAGAACCCCGGCGAGGGGAGUGAAAAAGAACCUGAAACCGUGUACGUACAAGCAGUGGGAGCACCCUUUGGGGUGUGACUGCGUACCUUUUGUAUAAUGGGUCAGCGACUUAUAUUCUGUAGCAAGGUUAACCGUAUAGGGGAGCCGGAGGGAAACCGAGUCUUAACCGGGCGUUAAGUUGCAGGGUAUAGACCCGAAACCCGGUGAUCUAGCCAUGGGCAGGUUGAAGGUUGGGUAACACUAACUGGAGGACCGAACCGACUAAUGUUGAAAAAUUAGCGGAUGACCUGUGGCUGGGGGUGAAAGGCCAAUCAAACCGGGAGAUAGCUGGUUCUCCCCGAAAGCUAUUUAGGUAGCGCCUCGUGAAUUCAUCUCCGGGGGUAGAGCACUGUUUCGGCUAGGGGGCCAUCCCGGCUUACCAACCCGAUGCAAACUGCGAAUACCGGAGAAUGUUAUCACGGGAGACACACGGCGGGUGCUAACGUCCGUCGUGAAGAGGGAAACAACCCAGACCGCCAGCUAAGGUCCCAAAGUCAUGGUUAAGUGGGAAACGAUGUGGGAAGGCCCAGACAGCCAGGAUGUUGGCUUAGAAGCAGCCAUCAUUUAAAGAAAGCGUAAUAGCUCACUGGUCGAGUCGGCCUGCGCGGAAGAUGUAACGGGGCUAAACCAU
Molecule: ribosomal RNA, 727 nt
Filed under: Salmonella enterica subsp. enterica serovar Panama
Lineage: Bacteria; Pseudomonadati; Pseudomonadota; Gammaproteobacteria; Enterobacterales; Enterobacteriaceae
Description: partial 23S ribosomal RNA
Rfam family: Bacterial large subunit ribosomal RNA
Source: RNAcentral